RNAcentral lists this long non-coding RNA (512 nucleotides) under Daucus carota (carrot). RNAcentral's name for it is "long non-coding RNA (DCAR_LNC001902)". Lineage: Eukaryota; Viridiplantae; Streptophyta; Magnoliopsida; Apiales; Apiaceae. The record is from RNAcentral.
AUAAAUCUAAAUUAGUUUAUUAAUUAAUUUUAAUUAGUAAUUAAUUAUUUUAAUUAGUCAAUUAAUUUAAAUAUUAAUUGAUUAAUUAUUUUAAUUAAUUAUUAAUUGAUUUUAAUUGAUUAAUUAAUUGGAUUUAAUUAAUCCUUUUUGAUUUAAAAAUUCCGAAAAAUAGUUUCGAGCUUUAAAAUAUUUUUCCAAAUUAUUUUCAAGGCUCGAUAAUUGUUUAUGAAUGAUUUCAAGUCCAAUUUCAAGUAUUUGGGACUUGAUUAUUUAUUUGAAAAGUGAUUCUUUUAUCGAUUUUAAUUCCGAAAAAUGUUUAAAAAUUCUGGAAAAUUCCCGAAAAAUCAUUUUUAACCCAAGACUUGAUUUAAGAUCAAUUGGGAUGGGAAACCUUAUGUGUUGUGUGUUGUCUGCUAUUGGUUGGAUGUGUUAUGUGCCGAUAGGAGAGUGAGAAAACUGUUUUGAGCAUAACUUUUGAUCAGUAAGUCGGAAUCAAGUAAAAUGAAAGAGAG